GGGGUGCAUGUUUUUCUUUCAAAAAUGAUGCAUCUAAAUAUGUUUUGCUUGAUUACACAUGAAUAAUCUAUAUCAAGUUGCUUAGUACCUCGGAGAGGAAGGAGGAUCAGGAGGAAGAGAAUUUGAAAUUCAACAUAAAAAAGAAUGUUAAAAAUUCUUUUUACAUGCAAAAACAUAUAAAGUUUUCUAUUACAGGUGUUUUAAAAGUGCAUUUCCUUUCUUGUAGAGAUGAGGAGGGGGCCUACAGAGAGCCUGGAAACUGGGUCUGAGAAUCUCUUACUCAGGAGUUUGCAGGCCUUCAAGCUAAGACUAAAGGAAGAAAACAAGGAAAGUCAGGAUUUCUGCUCUUUCUGGAAGAUUAUAGCAGUACUCUAGCCAAAGAUAUCAACUACACCAGAAGUUGAAGGCAUUGGAAACUAUAGCCAAACAAGGUCUGAAUGCACUCCUUAAAGAAGCAAGCCUACUGAGACUGUUGAGUAUUGAUCCCAGCAGAGACACUGCUCAGUGAGGAGCAGAAAGAGAACAAAUUCAGAAGACCCUCCCCCAUAUAUUUUCCAUAGGUGGACUUUUCCUGUGUCAUUUCUAUGAUGACUCCAAUAAUGAUGUUUAUGGUUGUAAGAGACAAUGCUCAAGAUUUAUGGGGAGAAAAUUCUAUUGUAAAUUGUCUUAUACUAUUUAAUUAAAUGUCUUUGUUUUGAACUGAUUGUGUUCU
RNAcentral lists this long non-coding RNA (712 nucleotides) under Monodelphis domestica (gray short-tailed opossum). Its description in RNAcentral is "lncRNA (ENSMODG00000034051.2)". The record is from RNAcentral. Lineage: Eukaryota; Metazoa; Chordata; Mammalia; Didelphimorphia; Didelphidae.